Molecule: long non-coding RNA, 758 nt
Filed under: Homo sapiens (human)
Lineage: Eukaryota; Metazoa; Chordata; Mammalia; Primates; Hominidae
Description: HSALNT0331906
Source: RNAcentral
UAUUGCAUUGGGGAUCAGGUUUCAAAAUAUAAAUUUUGGAGGGACACAAACAUUUAGACCAUAACAGUCUCCUUUUCUGCUUCCUAAUACAGACUUGAGUUUGUUUAGCUAUUUCAUCUCCCCUGUGCAGCCACAUGUUUAGGGGAGACUGCCUCAUCCACUUUCCAAGCUCCUGAUGGGUCCUAGCCAAUUGUGGCCACCUCAUAUAACUUGCCAGUGGUUGGUUUAAACAUGAGCAUAUGAUGCGAUUUUGUCCAACAAGACCCAAGGGAUAGGCUGGUGGGGGGUUUCUAGGAAAGAUUUAUUCACUUUUAACAAGAGAUACAAAGAAAUGUCAACCCCUAUCUUGUUUCUCUGAAACAGUUGUGUGUGGACGUCUCACUUAAAACUCCUUCAGCUCCCGUGUAAGCACAGGGAGAAGCUGGAAUGCCGGGGGCGGAGGAGCAGAAAGGUGAAAAUGAUCUGAGUCCUAAGUUUCACAUGCGUGAGCCCUGGAGAGCCUUAUCUCCUGACUUUUGUUUCAGGAGAUGGUCAAUUUCCCCUGAUGUUUGCUCCGUUGAAGUCUGUUUUACGGCAAAUCCAAGAAGCAUUCUCGUGUAGGAGUGUCAGAGCCACACGGAUGUUUACACCUGCGUCGGGGCUGUAGCCCUCAUGCCACAGCUGAUCGGCACAGAAGCGGAUGGAAGGGGAUGUCUGUGGCGUCACCCUCUUGAAGAUUGAUCAUUUUACUGCCUAGAUAAAAAGUGAGACAAACCACA